UACGGAGGGUGCAAGCGUUAUCCGGAUUCACUGGGUUUAAAGGGUGCGUAGGUGGGCAGGUAAGUCAGUGGUGAAAUCUCCGGACUUAACCCGGAAACUGCCAUUGAUACUAUCUGUCUUGAAUACCGUGGAGGUGAGCGGAAUAUGUCAUGUAGCGGUGAAAUGCUUAGAUAUGACAUAGAACACCAAUUGCGAAGGCAGCUCACUACACGAAUAUUGACACUGAGGCACGAAAGCGUGGGGAUCAAACAGG
RNAcentral lists this ribosomal RNA (253 nucleotides) under uncultured bacterium. Its description in RNAcentral is "partial 16S ribosomal RNA". It matches the Rfam family "Bacterial small subunit ribosomal RNA", at positions 524 to 776 of the family's 1533-position model. The record is from RNAcentral.